This 29-nucleotide non-coding RNA is filed under the name Rattus norvegicus (Norway rat). The record is from RNAcentral. Lineage: Eukaryota; Metazoa; Chordata; Mammalia; Rodentia; Muridae.
UGGAUUCUCCUUUAAAAUGUUGGCCUAGU